Molecule: ribosomal RNA, 392 nt
Filed under: uncultured bacterium
Lineage: Bacteria
Description: partial 16S ribosomal RNA
Rfam family: Bacterial small subunit ribosomal RNA
Source: RNAcentral
CUACGGAGGAUGCGAGCGUUAUCCGGAUUUAUUGGGUUUAAAGGGAGCGUAGGCGGGAGCUUAAGUCAGCGGUUAAAUGGUGCGGCUCAACCGUGCCCUGCCGUUGAAACUGGGUUUCUUGAGAGUGCAAGAGGCGGAUGGAAUUCAUGGUGUAGCGGUGAAAUGCUUAGAUAUCAUGAAGAACUCCGAUUGCGAAGGCAGUCCGCUGGGGCACGUCUGACGCUGAUGCUCGAAGGUGCGGGAAUCAAACAGGAUUAGAUACCCUGGUAGUCCGCACGGUAAACGAUGAUUACCCGCUGUCGGCGGUAGACAGUCGGCGGCCAAGCGAAAGCGAUAAGUAAUCCACCUGGGGAGUACGCCGGCAACGGUGAAACUCAAAGGAAUUGACGGGG